This 1090-nucleotide unclassified non-coding RNA is filed under the name Hevea brasiliensis (rubber tree). Lineage: Eukaryota; Viridiplantae; Streptophyta; Magnoliopsida; Malpighiales; Euphorbiaceae. The record is from RNAcentral.
CUCUAAUUCAUCAUGUUGGCUCUGUACAUCAAGAAAUCUUUAUAUAUUUGAACAAAUGUUUUCUCAUCAAGUGUUCAUGCAGGAAUGAGAGCAAAUCAAGAGCAAAGGGAAUGGAGAAACACGCAACAUCCACACACCAAAAAAAGAAAAGGAAUAACCAUAGCCAAAAUGAAUUUUCCUCAACUUUGCAAAUAAAAUUAUAAUUCUAAUAUUUCCACAAUUCUAGGAUCCAAUAAGCCUUUAAGCCUAAUCAGCAUAUUUCUAAGCUCUGUACUAGCUAGGGGUGGCCAACAGGGCUGAACCGGACCAAAACCAGCAGCUCCAUUAGGGUCCCCCCUGUUUUGGUUCCAGUUUGAUUAAAUCCAACAGUUGAAAUUUUUUUCCAAAUUUUUUUUAAAGAAAAAAUCCAGUUUUGGCUAGGAACCAAACUGUUUCAAUGCUGGUUUUCGUCAAUAACAAUCCAAUUUUGACCAAUUCCAGUCCGGUUCCGAUUCUGAACUCACCACUGGCUGGGUCUAGUACCAGCAUCGAUGAAGUGCCAAUUCAUCUGAAGCUAAUAAUGCAGUUGAUAAAACUGGACACUUUGCCUCAAUACUCAACCUUCCAAGGCUAUAGCAUGUUUUCCAAAAGACAUGAGAGACACAAACACCAGAAAAAAGGGAUAAAGAGUUGCAACAAAAUUCGAAUGCAUACAUUCUUAUAAAGAAAUUGGGUUUCAAGGCCAGUACAUCAUACUGUAUGCAUAAUAUAAAUAGUAUACUCUAAAUGAAUUAAGAAGAUUGAAAACCCAAGAACAUUUGAGUAGGUCCUUAUUUAGGGACCAAUCAACAUUAUGUUGCAAGAGUGGAUUGUUCAAUUGAUGCCAAUGAGCUUCCUUUUUUCAGCUAGCAGAAUUAAGUAUUUAAGUGGUUUCAUUUGUGUUCAAUCCUUUUCAUGCACAUGUUUGAUGUUGAAGCUGCAACAUCGGAACAUAUAAUGUCAUGUAGCCAACAAUAUCAAAUGCACAACAAACACAUAUAAAUCCAUUUCAUUGUCUUCCACAAAUGGGAAACUCAGAAUGUGAACUCGCUAGCAUAUAUAUAUAACUCUG